GUGAAUCAUCAAAUCUUUGAACGCAAAUUGCACUCUUUUUGGAGAGUAUGCCUGUUUGAGGGUCAGUAAUAAUAAAAUCGGGGUGUUGCUUUCUUUGUGACGUACCGGUGAUUGUGCUACUUUUAACUCUCGGGUUUAAGAUGCUUAAAAUUGAACUUUUUUGCGCACUUUUAGACGUACAUAAAUUUAUAUUAUAUUUUUAUCUGUUUCCAAUUAUCUAUUAGGUGCGAUUAUGUUAUAUGAUUUCGUGCCAAUAACUUCUUAUCUUUUGACCUUAAAUCAGUAA
Molecule: unclassified non-coding RNA, 286 nt
Filed under: Glomeraceae sp.
Lineage: Eukaryota; Fungi; Glomeromycota; Glomeromycetes; Glomerales; Glomeraceae
Description: partial contains 5.8S ribosomal RNA and internal transcribed spacer 2
Rfam family: 5.8S ribosomal RNA (bases 1-65)
Source: RNAcentral